GUGGCGGACGGGUAAGUAACGCGUGAGUAACCUGCCUUUCAGAGGGGGAGUAACGUUCUGAAAAGAACGCUAAUACCGCAUAACAUCAAUUUAUCGCAUGAUAGGUUGAUCAAAGGAGCAAUCCGCUGGAAGAUGGACUCGCGUCCGAUUAGCCAGUUGGCGGGGUAACGGCCCACCAAAGCGACGAUCGGUAGCCGGACUGAGAGGUUGAACGGCCACAUUGGGACUGAGACACGGCCCAGACUCCUACGGGAGGCAGCAUG
Molecule: ribosomal RNA, 263 nt
Filed under: uncultured bacterium
Lineage: Bacteria
Description: partial 16S ribosomal RNA
Rfam family: Bacterial small subunit ribosomal RNA
Source: RNAcentral